GGCUUGUUGCGAUACGCGGACGUAUUAGUCAUAGGCGCUGCAUACCGCACGGAAAAUUGAGACAUCCGACAAGGACGGCCACAGACUUCUACCCGAGUUAGAAAUUUUAAAGAACGCGAAGUGCCGCGGAGUCUAUGCAAAUGCGUAACACACUGUCGAACGUUCGAGCGAACGUAAGCGCAGUGCGAACUGAUACGCGCGCGUGUACUGUAAAAGCUAGAGGCGACCGCUUGUGCAACCUUGACGAUCGAGAAUGUGUUUGACCUCCUCGUCGCGGAUAAUCUUGCUCCUCGCCACCUCGUUAAUGCCUCGCGUGUCCUUAAAACCAUCGCCUCUUUACCCAUUGCUCUCGCGCUUUUUUUCUCUGCUUUUUUAUUUAUUUAUUUGUUUAUUCGUUUAUUAAGUUUCGCUUCUUUUUUCAUCUGGACUUGCUACUUUUGUAUCAACGAAAAAGGGAAUUGGUUGAAAGUAUGUAGGUUGUCUGUUUGGGCUUAUCUUAGGAACUGUUGUGGAUCUCUGGUUGCUUUUUGGAGGUUAUGGCUGUUUUCCUUUGAUCUCUUGCGUUUUCUUGUUUUUCUCUGGCUUUCGUUUCAACCGUAAAAAAAAAAAAAAAAAAAAAUAAAUUGGUUGAUAGUAUGUAGGUUGCUUGUUUGGGUUUAUUUCAGGAGUCGUUACGAUUCUUUGGUUGCUUUUUGUAGGUUAUGACUGUUUUCUGUUGAACACUCGCGUUCUCUUGCUUUCCUCUGGAUUUUGGUUUAAAUCGUAAAAAAGGAAUUGGUUGAUAAUACGUAGCUUGUUUGUUUGGAUUUACUUUAGGAGUUGGGCUUAUGGAUUUGGGUUGCUUUUUGAGGUUAUGUCUGCUUUCUUUUGAUCUCUCCCGUUCUCUUGUCUUGUUUUGGAUUUUGUAUUAAUCGUGAAAAAGCAAUUGCUUGGUAGUUGUUUGUUUUUGAUUACAUUAAGAACUAUAGUUGUAUAAUAGUUGUUUGAAAGUUGAUAAAAGUACUAUGGUUACAUGGAAAGAGAUGUAUGGAGAGUCCAUGUUGUUUUUUUUAACAGUGAAGUAAUCGAUGCUCGAUUACUUGUUCGUUGUAAAUUCAAUUAUUAUUUUAUUCCAUCGUAAUUUUUAUUUAAUACGAUUUUCGGUUUUUUCCCUGUUUUAUAAUUUGUUACUCAUUUAUGAUCAUAAUGAAAAUCAUCUUGAGUAUUUGGUUGGCUUUAAAGUUACACUCAAGAGUUUUAAUUCGAUUCUUCUGUAUAUUGAUAUUAUUAAAAUAAAACUUGUUCCGCUAUAGAUAAACUUCCAAAACGAAGUUUCAUUUAUUAAGGAUGACCUUACAUCGACCAGAAGAAUAGGGAAAAAUAUAAAAAACGAUCUUAAUUGGAUUUGUUUAAAAAACGAUUGCAUUAAUGCAAAAGGAGAAGAAGAAAAAUAAAUUAUGUUGAAAAUAUAAUGGGCAAGAGAGAGAGAGAGAGAGAGAGAGAGAGAGAGAAGGGAGAAUACGACCUGCCAAGAAUCACACUUCUGUUCGCAACCAAUUUGUUCUCCGCCUAUUACUUUUACUACCAUAGAAUCAUCAUAAAACGGCUCUCCCUCGGAGUCAAUUAAAAUUCACUUCACCGAUCUAACGACACCAAACACCAAACACGCUGUUCAACAUUCCGAUUCUUAUCCAGUCCCAACGCCCGGAAGUACAAUUUCGAUAUUCUUAUCGAACAUUGGCUCUGCUAAAGGCGAAGCGGACGAUUUUCAAAGGAAUAUUUUUAUAUAAAUAACGUAUAUUCUCCGAUAAUAGACGCGUUUAAAAUAUAACGAAAAAUACAUGUUCUUCGAUUACUAUUUAAAUGUAGAAAACAUCGUGUCUUAAAUUUCGUAUUUUACAUAGGGAUAAGACGUCCAAAAUGAAUUUUACAUUAUAUUAAGCUAUUUCGUAAACAGCGUAGCAUUUCGAAAUAAUUCGAAUUAAAUGAAACUCAACAUUUAUCCAUUCGAAAUAAAAUGUAUCUUAGCUGUAAAAUGUGUAAGACGAAAUUUUAUAUCUGCGUAUAUACUUAUUCGAUCAUCUCAUACUUAAUGUGAUUCUUCCAUAUAUUAAGUUAUCCGAAAAGUGUCUUUCUUUCGCAAACGUGUCUUUUACAACAGUGCAGCUUCAUACAAACGUGAAACAAAGUCUGCGAAAUGUCUGUGGUGUUUAUCUCAACAGAACAAAAUCGACCGUACGUAAUUUAACAAAAUAAUAUAAAACAAAAAACGUUGUGCGUCUAUUAUUUCCUCAUAAAACGAAAGAGACUUUUCGGAUAAACUAAUACUAAAUAAGAACGAAUAUUUAUCUAUCCACAAUCGAAUCGAUCAAGAUCCAAUUGACAAUUAUAGAAAGAAAAUGUUGAUUUUCAUCUUCGAGUAUACAUCAUACAUACGAAUUGUAUAUUUAAAGAAAAAUUUGAUUUUUGAUCUUAGAGGAUGUUGGUCCGUUGUUCAUGGUCCGGACAGAAAAGAAUCGAAGCUCGAUGGUAUCACGUGGCAUCGGGGUCCUCCCCUUUUAUCCCGUAGCGGAGGCCGCGUGUGUCCCGGCUUCUUGAGGUCGAGGAAUUUAAUAACGGACGAGGUCGAAGUCGCUCGCGCACACUCUCGAAAAUGAGAGCCCGAACUCCGGACACACGCCGCUGGUCACCAGAGAGACGAAGAGAAGGUUGCGCUCAUUCAUAGGAAUUUUACAGGUUGUCAGGCAGGUUUGACCGGCCUUUGUCAUGGAAGUAACUCCGUGGAGACUGAGCGCGGGGCCACGUAUGUAUGUUUGUUCGUUUAGGACGGCGACGAAUCACGGAUGAAUUUAGACGAGAGCACACGCCGCGCUUAUACCUGCGCGACCACGCCAAGACGCGACCCUGUCACCUCGGUUAGGUUAUUCUCAGAUCGAUAUAGUCGUUACGAUGAGGGAAAGAUUGGUAAAAAAAGAAAGCAAAAAAAAAAAAAAAGGAAGAAAAGGGAUUGGAGAUACGAGGAAGAUUGAAAUUACAUUGGAAUUUCAUUUAGUCGACACUAUCGAGAGAUAAAUAGUUCGUACAGUAAUUACAGGAAGUAUGAACACAUCGGUGUAUUUGUUGUAGCAUUUUCGAGUUAAUUAAUUGGGUAUUAAAUUUCGUAUUUAGCUUUUACAUUAUUAGAAAAAUUUGAUAUUGCAAAAAUGAUACGUAGAACCUGGUAGGAAGGUACUUUGUUGAAAAUGAGGAUGCGUGCUACUGUGUAACGGCAGUUGCUGAAUUUACGUUUGACGAAAUUAACGAAUGUCGUUUGCAUUGUACAAGCUUUAAUACCGGUUUUAACACUUGAGCGAAGGAUGAAUCCUCUUCACGAAAUAAGAUUUUCGAUGAAACGAGAUUAAUUCUUUCGUUAUGGUAUCUUCGUAACUAAAGAUAUUUUUCAUAUACGAAUCGACGUAGUUUCUACUAAUAUCGAAUAUUUAUGCGCUAUACAAAGUUGUCGAAGAAUUCGGAAUUCUUAAGAUUUCCUGCAUUUCUGAUAUAACUAUAUUUCACAAAAUUUAUCCAAAUCUCCUUUCCUCUACCUUUUUGUCAAUUGCGUGUAUGAUUCUAAAGAAGAGUUACAAAAUAUGGAGCGUUUACCAUCAGAAAAAUAUAUUCACCGUGUUCCAUUGACUCAUGAAAACGUGUCACAAUGUCAGAAGAUAAAAGUAUUACUGAACUAUACAACUAAAAGGAACUUUCAAGAGUUGAAACACGUGAUUAGAUCGAAAUUCGUAAAAUCUUGACUUACGUCGCUAUGAUCUUCGUUCUGCUGUUUAAUAACAAAUUAAUACAAAAGGAACACGUAUAAAGAACAGGUAUAGAAACAAUUUUAAAGAAAUAUUAGAAACGUUUCUCAAACAAUGAAUUAUCCGCAUCUCAUCAGCUAAAACAUGAUCUUUCCCAUUUAGUUGAAAAGUUCUGUCGAACCUAAUGAUCGUGACGGAACACGGUGGCAACGUUAAUAGAGUCAUCGGUCAGAAAAUCCUGGUAUUGUCGCGUGCACGUUCCCCGUUGGCUUGGAAAUCGAGUCUCAAACAUGUUCGACAGAUUUUUGCUGUGAAAGUGGCACGCGGCGGCGGAAUCACUAAACAGGUAUUUAGCGCGCAGUAGCGAGCAAUCAGGAUGAAUUCGGUCGUGAAUGUGUUUCAACUUUCAAAAUGCACCCGCCGUUGUAGCGCCACUUGGCUGAGAAAAUAGCAGCCGAAUACGCGUGGUCGUGAACGAUCGCGUGCUGAACGAGCUAGACAUCGCGCACUUUCUUACGCACCGUGUUCUCCAACUACGAUCACCGCGACGAUGUCUCGUCGAAUCAGUGAGAACCGAGACGAAUUAGCUGAAUUACGACGAUGCCUCUCGUCUUCCUGUGAGUUGUAACACGAAAGGACGAAGAAGACUGGAAAAACGCGCGAAAGCUUUGAAAAGAGGAUGUGAUCGCUGGUGAAUUUUUGUACAGCGUGUUGAAGUAAGGGGCUAUCGGUAAAACGAAGAGAAAGGAUUAGGAAGCUGUAUAGUUUAAUAUAUUAUAAUUAGAUUGGGGCAUUUUUAUGCAUUUACAGGUUUAAAAUUGCGAAAAUGCAGAGAAUUGACGUCAAAUGUCGAGUGUAGGUCGUAUGCAAACUAUCGCAAGUGUAGUACGUACUUAUUAUAAUAUUCAGUGAACGAAAUAAAUUUCUACUUAGAUUCCACGUGUUCAAUUAGCUGUAUAAAAAUAGGAAUUCCCAUAGAGAAUCGUAAUCGAAUUACGAUCUUAUUUCUUCGAAUUGUACGAUUCGAAAUAAUGUGAAUAUUAUAUUCUCUUUUAAACACGUUUAACUAAUGGACACUGACUUAACUGUUGAACCAUACAAAUAAAACUGCAGUUUUGAAAUAUGGUACGACUUGAGCUUUCAGCCAUAGUAUUAUUGGACAAUUAAAAUGUCCCAUUUCGAAAUGCAUUCAUUUUCUCGGUUUACAUAAAAGAUCUAUUUCGGAAACGAACGCAACAUAAAAAAUUAUCUGUUUUACAAAAGAAACGUUGUUUAAUUUGUUUGGUUGGAUCGAUCUUUCUGGCCGAAUAUUAAGAAAUAUUGGCCAGUUUGAGUUUGCUCGAAGCAGAGAGAUGGUUAAAAUGUUCUUGAAAUUUGAAAUAUGGAUUUUUAAGUCCCCUAAAAUUAAACCUAAAUGGAAACACGUUCGGGCCAGGUAGUCGAGCAGUCAUAAUAGAUUCUAUUAAGUCCGGGCUAUAAAAGUCGUAGGGAAACGUUGGAAGAAAGAAAGUGUCUUUAGAGUGUGUUUGCAACGCAUAGCAUGUUUCAGCAUGUGAAAUGAAAUGUGACAAAAAAUGCGACGUAAUAUCAGCUAUCCUUUUUGUUGUUAUACUAAUGUUAGACUAAUUUGUUAGAGAGAAUGAUAGCUUCUCAAAGAGUUAUUAGAAAUUAUUAGGAUCGAGGGAAAAAUUUAAAGGAAGAGAAAGUGUGCGUUCGACCAGUUGGAAUAUUAGUAUACUUCUAGUGUCUAAUAUAAAACACAAAAGAACGCUACUAAAUACAUAUUACUACCGCUAUUUCUUAAACAGAGAAUAACGUUUUACUUUUUCUCGUUCGUCAAUUUCAUGAACAAUUCCAAUUCUAAUUACUUUCUUAUGCAUUAAUUAUCUGUUUAGUUAAAGAAAAACUUUUUCCAUUUUCUAUAAAAUAUCGUAUCGAUAACAAAGAAACUGUGAGAUUCUCCGAUUGAAUAAUUAAAUCUAAGUUAAUGUGUCAAAUCAAGUGUCUCGGAAAAAUCAUAUAUACCGAUCCAUUAAUAUUUACUCAGAUCUGGGACGAAUUCAAAUUAGAUUCAAAUCUUUCGUAAAGUCUACGUAAAACCUAACGUCACGAAACAAAUCAUUUUUACAAUUUCUUUUCCAAACGCUUAAUCGCGUAAUACAUAAAAUACACAAAAAUUGAUGUCGCAGUAUUCAUCAAAUAUUGGGUUGGCAACUAAGUGAUUGCGGAUUUUGUCAAUACCGCUUAAUGACACUUAGUUGCCAAGUCAAUAAUUCAUAAAAUAAUUACCUAGACGCAAUAGCAAUCGUUAACCGUAAGAACCAAAGUUGAUCGGUGAUUUCAUUCGAAAAAGAUCGCGAGCGUAAUCAUGAAACGUCCGCAAACAGCUCGCGAUCAUUGUUCGCGAACGCUGUUCGCGAACGUGUUCGCCAGUGAAUGCCGUGCACCUUUGGUGAGCCAAAGCGAUUCUAACCGGAGGUUCGUUCGUUGGCCGAUCUCGAGAUCGAAGCUGGGUGGUCGAAUCCUAAUCGACUGACCAACGAUUGUUCACACGAGUUUCGUUGGUGAACACACGGAGACGUAGGUGUGUAAAUGGAUAGAUUAUACAUCGUCGAUGUAUCCCGUGCAUGGCUCUCAGACGACUCGUGAACCGCCUCUUUUAUCCGGGGCGCAAUUGAGUCAACGGCCUUUCGAAAGAAGUAACGGUAUACGAUUAUUACUCCUACCGAGUCUAUACUCACGAAACUGAAACAUUCGCGCGCGAGCGCCAGCCAACUCAGCCAAGCUCGAACGUUCGCGCACGCGUUUCGCAGCCUGGUUUAUGGCUAUAGACUGUGGCUAACGUUUUACGGCCACGGUGACGGAUAUCGCCGCCUUUUAAACGACACGCUAAGGCAAACCGGGACGAACGUGUUCCGGAUCAUCCAGCUUUGUAUCAUCGGUGGAACUCCAUUUUUUUCUGAACUCGUCGGGGCACCAACGGCUUAUACAAUUGGCGUUCACGUAAUAGCUUUUACUCUUUUUUUCCUGCCAUUUCAUUGUGGAGAAAGGAAAGAGAAUGGAGAUCUUAUCCAUCGGGUUGAUAACGCGAUUUGUUGGCACAUUGUCCUUAUGUUCAGCCUACAUCGCUAGGUAUCACAUGGCUGAAAAUGGAACGAAACUGUUAGGUUCAAAGAUGAAGUUUUUUAAAAAUAUCUGGCGAGCUCAUUGGAAAGUAAGCUAUAACCAUUUGUAAAAUUACGUACAUUUAACGCGAUACUAAAAUACGACAAACAACAUUUAUUAAAU
Molecule: long non-coding RNA, 7058 nt
Organism: Bombus terrestris (buff-tailed bumblebee)
Lineage: Eukaryota; Metazoa; Arthropoda; Insecta; Hymenoptera; Apidae
Exons: 3
Source: RefSeq, a predicted model, not a curated record